CGGCCUGCGCGGAAGAUGUAACGGGGCUAAACCAUGCACCGAAGCUGCGGCAGCGACACUAUGUGUUGUUGGGUAGGGGAGCGUUCUGUAAGCCUGUGAAGGUGUGCUGUGAGGCAUGCUGGAGGUAUCAGAAGUGCGAAUGCUGACAUGAGUAACGAUAAAGCGGGUGAAAAGCCCGCUCGCCGGAAGACCAAGGGUUCCUGUCCAACGUUAAUCGGGGCAGGGUGAGUCGACCCCUAAGGCGAGGCCGAAAGGCGUAGUCGAUGGGAAACAGGUUAAUAUUCCUGUACUUGGUGUUACUGCGAAGGGGGGACGGAGAAGGCUAUGUUGGCCGGGCGACGGUUGUCCCGGUUUAAGCGUGUAGGCUGGUUUUCCAGGCAAAUCCGGAAAAUCAAGGCUGAGGCG
This 405-nucleotide ribosomal RNA is filed under the name Enterococcus faecalis. Its description in RNAcentral is "bacterial LSU rRNA". It matches the Rfam family "Bacterial large subunit ribosomal RNA", at positions 1155 to 1563 of the family's 2925-position model. The record is from RNAcentral. Lineage: Bacteria; Bacillati; Bacillota; Bacilli; Lactobacillales; Enterococcaceae.